Molecule: long non-coding RNA, 673 nt
Organism: Sebastes umbrosus (honeycomb rockfish)
Lineage: Eukaryota; Metazoa; Chordata; Actinopteri; Perciformes; Sebastidae
Exons: 3
Source: RefSeq, a predicted model, not a curated record
GUUUUUUGACUGCGCCGCAUUUGACUGCGCUCCGGUUGUUGUCGACCUUCUCCCCGAGGCUGGAACACAACUGCUGCCCGCACGUGGGGCCAGGCAUCCCGGCCGUGACAUCAUCAAGCAAGUCUAAACCUGGCUGCUUUGUGAUGGAGGGUCAUCAUCUCCUGACGUCUGGCUCUGGACCCCAAAUCAAAAACAAAACAUCACAAAUCCCGACAGCUGUCAUCUUCAUCCCACCAAUUAACAACACAACGACUGCCCUACCUCACCACAACCUGACCUGUGCCUCUCCACAGAGCACACCUGCACCACAACUCCAGAUACAAAGAGGAAACGACUGGCGUGGCGGGGCUCGUAUAGUUUGCUGAAUGUGCUGUAUGUUUGAGGCCACAGGACGCAGGACGUUGGAUUUGUGGUCAGAAAUACGGGAAGUUCAGGGAGGAGGCGAAAGAAGGGCAACAGGUGGUGCUCAAAAUCAGACUCAUUCAGCAGUUAUAUAUCGAAAUGAGUUCAAUGGAAAAGAGAUAGUAGAUCACGUGCUGGAUAUAAAGAUCGAUUUAAAGGAACAAUGUGUAGCAUUUAGGGGCAUCUAUUGGCAGAAAUGGAAUAUAAUAUUAAUAAGUAUGUUUUCAUUAGUGUAUAAUCAACUGAAAAUAAGAAUAGUUGUGUUUUCAUU